UCUCUGGUGGCUCAGAGGGUAAAGCGUCUGCCUGCAAUGUAGGAGACCUGGGUUCGAUCCCUGGUUUGGGAA
Molecule: transfer RNA, 72 nt
Filed under: Ovis aries (sheep)
Lineage: Eukaryota; Metazoa; Chordata; Mammalia; Artiodactyla; Bovidae
Rfam family: tRNA
About the family: Transfer RNA (tRNA) molecules are approximately 80 nucleotides in length.
Source: Rfam by way of RNAcentral